UCCCAGAGGCUGUGAGAGACUCCUGGCUCAGCUGGGCACGACCAUAGCUGCAGCCAGGCAGGGAGCAGAGCGGGGCAGGGAGAGCCGCCGCCACACACGGGAGCCCCAGUCUGGGCUCCUCCUCGUCCUCCCGGCCGCAGCUUCCCCGGGAUGUGAAGGAAAGGCACCCUCCACUCUGCCGCCGCCCGCCUCGCUGCCCCGGCAGCCGCGUGUGCCUGCACCGCCCCCGCUCCCACCUCGGCCCCACGCAGCUCCACUGCUGAGCCCCGGCCCUGCACCACUGCCUCCGCCUGCUUUCAAGGAUGCCUGGUUGGCUGAUCUCAUACCGUGGGCUUUAAACUAGCUUUGCUGCGGGAAGGGGCCCGUUUGAGUGGAGAGGAUGCUUCACCAGCACGCAGGGUGACAAGAGGAAGGGAAGCCCAGGAAAAAGGCACAUCCAGAGCUUCAUUACUUCCACUGCUUCUGCUAACUAGAUCAUCAUCCUAAAUCCUGUCUGCUGAACCAGUGAAAGGAGACUUCCAAUCUGGAAGGGAGGAAUAAGUAGAUACUUAAAGAAGACCACUGAGUGAAGGCCCAGGAGGAAUUAUGGGAAGGAUUUGGAAGACUAACAGCUUUCAGUCUUUAAAUCAGUUGAGAUCUGGAUUAUGCUCAGGUUGUGCUAAGCAACUCCAUCAUUCACAAGUGAGAGGGGUUUAGUGCGGGGAUGAUGGAUUGUGUUAACAGGAAGAAUUACUGUAGUAAUUCUGUAGUGAAGACAAGUUCUAUGAGAACACUCAUAAGCCAUGGCCUGGGUCCUAGAAUGCGCUCAAUGCCAUACAUUCCCCAGGGUUGCUGUGGGAGUGGUUGUUGCCAACUCUGAGCUUUCACACACUAUUAGUCAGGCCUAAUACAAAUCCUGAGAUCAGCUUAAAAAUAAUGAGUAACUUAAACAUGAAAACCGAGAUCACUUUUGCUUCCUGAUUUUGAGAAUUUUGGGGUCAUUUUUCCAGUUUUUCUCUACCAACAUGAACCUAAAGACUUCCGUUUCUUUUUAAACAAAAUCUUAGCAACAUGAGAGGUAUAUUUUACGAAUAUCUUAUCAAGCCAGCGGUAUAAACCAACAGAAGACUUGGACUGUAAGGGUCGAGUUGCUUCUGCCCACUUGGGUAGGAGUCAGGAAGGCAGAGCAUCAGUCUCGUAGCACUUUGUCACUCUGUUCCAUUGUUGGUGACUUCAAUUACAGUAACACUCGCCUGGGGACAGAGCAUCUUCAUUUAGCCCAAAGCAGGCUCUGCAGAAAGAUAGCAUUAGUUACCCAGCAUGAAAUUAUGUUUUAAAACAGCACAGAAGUAGCCCAGAUCAAGUGGGGCUCUAAGGCCAUUUGUGUGCCCUUAAACUCUGCCCUGGUCAGACACUUGGGAACCCCGUACGUGCUCUAAAUUGCGAGUCAUACCUAGAUUUCCCUGUAUGCCCUGCUUGCUGACAGCCUUACACUCGUACCUGCUACCCCUGUUAUUCCAGAGAAUAAGAAACCCACAGUACUUAACCUGGUGUAAUUCAGUACUUGCACUGGAAAAUGAUCCUAGCUUUUUGCUGACAAUAGGGCUAGAGAGCAGAAUCCCUCCCCUACUGUUUGUAGAGGGCUCUGAAAAAAUGGUGUGCUCCACAGCAUUGUUACAUUAGAGGUAAGAGACCUGAUGACCCUGAAGAACCUAAUCCUACACAUCUAUUUACAGAGUAAACUGGGCUGUUCCUGGAUUAUAUGGAGGUCUCAUUUCCACUCAUGUCUCUGGGGAAGAGGCAGGAAGUUACUUUACAAAGAUUACUGAAACACGAGCUAGAGAAAAGCAGAUUUUUUCAGAGUGGUGGGACUUUUUUUGGAGGUUGAUGGGAAGGCAAAAAGGAAUAAAGUUUUAAAAGCCUUACAUCUCUUAAACCAGGAUUAGCAUUUUAGAAACAUCACAAAAUGAACAUGGGUAUAGGAGGCCAAGAGUGUCACAAAUGAUAGACUCAUAUCAAGCUCUUAAGUCUACAUGUAAGCCCCUAGACAGGCAGCCUCAAAAUGAAGAGCCCUGAACCACAGACUUUUGAGUGUUCCCAUCACAAGUACUGGGCCUGUGUAAGUAGGCAGCUAUUCAAUCCAGCUUAGCAUCUGGCCGAUUCGGAUGCCAGUGAUCUGAGCUCCGGAUUGGUUUCCUGCUUUGAACCAGUUGAAGAAUUUGGGAUGUAGUUCCCCCCAAGCCCCUGCACCUAUCUUGAAACUUGGCAGGUUUCAUGGCAUCACCAGGGGCUACCAUCCAUGCAGUUUUCACCCCACUGUGGUGUAACACAUCCUUGUAACGUGAGUUUUGCUUUCAAGAAUUUAGGGUGCAGUUCCCCCCAAACCCCUCCACCCAUCUCCUUGAAACUUGGCAGGCUUUGAGGCCUCAGUAAGGGCCACCACCCUUGCAGUUUUCACCCCUCUGUGGUGUAAUACAUACAUCUAAAUCAGACAAAAUUCAACAAAGUUAUAGAUAUUUGAUUGAUUCCCCAUUAUACCCUAUGGCUGGAUCUCCUAGGCGGCUUCAAAGUGGCUCAGAAGCUCCGAACCACUUCGGAAAGCCUAAAGAAGCCAGCGUUUCGAUCCAGACAUGCUGCUUCAGACGCCGAAGAAUCCAAAACUUCUCCAGAUCCGAAGCCUCGCACAGCCCUAACAAGUACCAAAGAGAGUUCCUGUAAUGGCUCCACUGCAUACUAUGCCUCUGCAACUUCAUGGCAUCUCUCUGUUCAGAGGAUCCACUUUGCUUCCAAGCAUUUAAAAAUGAUUACUGAUAAAUACUGUGAUACUUGUA
Molecule: long non-coding RNA, 2810 nt
Organism: Alligator mississippiensis (American alligator)
Lineage: Eukaryota; Metazoa; Chordata; Crocodylia; Alligatoridae
Exons: 3
Source: RefSeq, a predicted model, not a curated record